GGAAUAUUGGACAAUGGGCGCAAGCCUGAUCCAGCAACGCCGCGUGAGUGAAGAAGGCCUUCGGGUUGUAAAGCUCUUUUAGCAGGGAAAACAAAAAUGAUGGUACCUGCAGAAAAAGCACCGGCUAACUCCGUGCCAGCAGCCGCGGUAAUACGGAGGGUGCAAGCGUUACUCGGAAUUACUGGGCGUAAAGCGCGUGUAGGUGGUCUUAUAAGUCUGGUGUGAAAUCCCGGAGCUCAACUCCGGAAGUGCAUUGGAUACUGUGAGACUGGAGUACAGGAGAGGAUGGCGGAAUUCCAGGUGUAGAGGUGAAAUUCGUAGAUAUCUGGAGGAACAUCGGAGGCGAAGGCGGCCAUCUGGACUGUAACUGACACUGAGACGCGAAAGCGUGGGGAGCAAA
Molecule: ribosomal RNA, 400 nt
Filed under: uncultured bacterium
Lineage: Bacteria
Description: bacterial SSU rRNA
Rfam family: Bacterial small subunit ribosomal RNA
Source: RNAcentral